This 1395-nucleotide long non-coding RNA is filed under the name Homo sapiens (human). RNAcentral describes it as "HSALNT0264831". Lineage: Eukaryota; Metazoa; Chordata; Mammalia; Primates; Hominidae. The record is from RNAcentral.
CAGCCCCCAGACUGUGAGGCUCUCAUGCAGUCAUGGUGAUGAUGUGCAAGUAUGGUUUGACAGAGCUGGGAAGCAAAUAUUAUCUUAAAUAAAUCUACUCUUCGGAAGCUUUUCAGGUAAAGAAAUCCUACAAAUAAAAAGUGAAGAUGGACAACCCAAAAGAAAAACUUUUCAGGACAAAGCAUCUGAAACAAAUGUGUUUAAAAGAGGAUAUCCAAAUCAUCAAUAAGCAUAUGAAGAGGUGUUUAACUUCAGUUGAUAAUCAGGGAAAUUCAAAUUAAAGUCACGAUGAGACACUACUACAUACCACCAGAAUGGCUAAAAGAAAACAGAUGUAAAAUAUCUAGUGUUGGUGAGAAUGUGGAGCAGCUGGAACUCUCACAUACUGCUGAAGGGAAUGUAAAUUGGUAUAACUACUUAGGAAAGCCAUGUGGCUGUUUGUCUGUAGCCGGCAGAAUUCUGAGAUGGCCCCCAAGAUUUCUGCUCCCUGAUGUACAUGCCCUAUGUAAUCAUCUUCCUUUUGAGUGUGGACAGCCUAGGUGGGACUGUGAAGAUGAUAGAUUUCACUUCUGUGAUUAGAUUACGCAAAGGUGAAGAGAUUUAUCAAAUGUUAUUAAAGUCCUAAAUCAGUUGACUCUGAGUUCAUCAGAAGAACCAAAAGGAAAACAAUCCUGGUGGGCUUGAACGAAUCAGGUUAACCUUGCAAGGAGAGUGGGCUCUUCCUGAAGGCAGAUAUUUGAAGGGUGAGGUGUGAGAGGGCUAUGGAGAGGUCUCCAGGGGAUGAGAGUGGUCCUGGCCCAGCAGCCAGCAAGAAAAUAAAGACUUCAGGUCUAAAACCACAAGAAACUCAAUUCCUUUAAAGCCGUGAAAAUGCUCAGAAGAGGGUUGUUUCUUGGUCAUGCCUCUAGAUGGGACCCAGCAGCCUAUACCUUGAUUUCAGCCUGUGAAGACUCGAGCAGAGGACCCAACUAAAAUGUGCCAGACUCCUUACCCAUGAAAACUGUGAAAUAACAAACUUGUGUGGUUUUAGGCCACUAAGUUUUUUAGUGAUACACAGCAAUAGAAAACUGAUGGUCUUAUAAAGCUGUAUGCAUGCAUAUCCUUUUACUCAACAAUUCCAUUUCUAGGAUUCCCUGUAGAAGGCCAUAUAUGUGUUUGCCAAAAUACGUAGACUUUAAUAUCCACAAAAGCUAUAUUUAUAAUAGCUAAAACCUGAAAACAAAGCAAGUGAGUGAGAAAAGGACUUAGGGAUACUGGUAAUAUUUUAUUUCUUGAUUUGGGUGCUGGUUACACAUGUGUGCUCAGUUUGUGAAAAUUCCCUAAGCUGUGUUCUUUCCUAAAUUAUACUUUAAUAAAAGUGAAGCGACCAGAAAUUUAUUAAUUUUUUACUACCUG